UCCAUCCUUGUCUAAAAAAAAAAACCAUUCUUCCAUCCCCACGGCCGGCCGCCCCCUCGCCGGCGGCUGCUGCCAGCGCAGUCCGGCGUCUCGCAGCGGUGGUCACCAGACUCCGGCCCCAUCAUCGCCUCCCUCCUCUGCUCGCCCGCCCCCACUCCACGCCUUCCCUUGCCGCCUGCCGCCCGCUCGACUCCCUCCUCUCCUCGCCGCGCCCUCCCACGCCCGCACUCCUCCUCUGUCCUCUCCCUCCCCGAAUGCCACCGCUUUCCGCCCCCCUCCGUGCCAAGCAAGCCUCUUUCGUGCUCCGACUCUUCCCCCGCCCAGGCAGCCGGGCUCCCUCGCCUCCCUCGCCUCCCUCGCCGCGUUCAACUCCCCCCUUGGCCGCGCUCGCCCGCGUCUGUCCGUGACCUCCCUGGCACGAGCCAGCUCUUUUCCUCCAUGCGGGACGCCGCCGUCCGGCCCGGCGUCGUCACGCCCGGCAUACGCGUCAUGGGGCUCUGCCAAGCCGGCCGCGCUCAGGGCGCUCGACGGAAUGCCCGGCCAAAACUCUGCCGUUCGCCCGGCUCGGAUGUCGUCAUUCAUGCUGAACAAGGUCGUGGAUGGGAUGUGUGAGAGCGGGAGGACUCAGGCGGCCGUUGCGUUCACGGAGGAGGACUACUGCUUGGCUGAUGUUGCGGCCGACGGAUCCUGCCGUGCGGGUAAUGAGACUGCUGCUUGGCUUUCCAGGCGGCGGAGAGGAUGGAGAAGGAGAGCUCUCCUCCACAAUAGGAAUGUGGUUUUGUUCCAUGAGGUGGUGGAUGAAGGGCACUCACCAGAUGCAGUCAUGUAUUUUUCCAUGAUAUAGGGAUUCUUUAGCAGGAGGAAUAGGUGCAAAGUAGGAGAUUUCUCAACUGUGGAUGAGUUAUUGGGGAAGAUGAUGGAUAUUGCAAAGUUGGUAAAAUGAUGAGGCAUUGAUGAUUUUCUGGUCCAUGGAUGAAUCCGCAAAUGCAGAGAGUAGCAUACGAUGGACGUAAUUUUCUGUUGCAUCGAAAAGCAAGUUAACUCGGCGUAUGCAGUAGCAACUACCAACCAUUCAUACUGGAGCAAAGGUCCAAGUAUAGAUUGGACAAGAAGCAGGGUGAUGCCCUUUUUUUCUGCCAACGCUGGAAGUGAGGUCCAUAACAAAGAUGCAAGCAGUCUAUCUAAAGCAAUUGCAUCUACAGGUCCAUCACACCAAACCGUCGGAAAGAUUCUAUAAAGUUCAAAUUUACCAUGCAUGUUGAGUGAACAGGUGCAGAAUUGGACAAACAUAAAUAUAGCUAGUGAAUGGUACAUGUCUUAAAAGGAAAGGAGACCUCAUCCUCAUCCUGGUCGGCGAGGAUCUUGGAGCAGUUGAAGCAGACGCAGCGCAUGAUGGAGAGCACGGUCUUGAUGAAGCCGAUGUGGAACAUGGGCUUUGCGAGCUCGAGGUGGCCGAAGUGGCCCGGGCACUCGGCCAUCCCGGCCAUGCAUGUCUCGCACUUGGUCCUGCGGUCAAUGGUGCCCAGGCGAG
Long non-coding RNA from Triticum aestivum (bread wheat), 1531 nucleotides. RefSeq lists it as uncharacterized. The record is from RefSeq and is a predicted model, not a curated record. NCBI's taxonomy places the organism in Eukaryota, Viridiplantae, Streptophyta, Magnoliopsida, Poales, Poaceae. The transcript is spliced from 4 exons.